UGGGGAAUAUUGCACAAUGGGGGAAACCCUGAUGCAGCGACGCCGCGUGAGUGAAGAAGUAUCUCGGUAUGUAAAGCUCUAUCAGCAGGAAAGAAAAUGACGGUACCUGACUAAGAAGCCCCGGCUAACUACGUGCCAGCAGCCGCGGUAAUACGUAGGGGGCAAGCGUUAUCCGGAUUUACUGGGUGUAAAGGGAGCGUAGACGGUGGCGCAAGUCUGAAGUGAAAGCCCGGGGCUUAACCGCGGGACUGCUUUGGAAACUGCGCGACUAGAGUGCAGGAGGGGUAAGUGGAAUUCCUAGUGUAGCGGUGAAAUGCGUAGAUAUUAGGAGGAACACCAGUGGCGAAGGCGGCUUACUGGACUGUAACUGACGUUGAGGCUCGAAAGCGUGGGGAGCAAACAGG
Molecule: ribosomal RNA, 404 nt
Filed under: uncultured bacterium
Lineage: Bacteria
Description: bacterial SSU rRNA
Rfam family: Bacterial small subunit ribosomal RNA
Source: RNAcentral